AUUUGUCAUAUCUAUUAUUUUUAUUAAAGCGUAAUUAAAUCCGUUCUCGGUAUGCCUAGUGCAGCAGGUUCAUGAAGGAGAUGUACUCAGUCUCUAAAAAUAAUUGAAGAGCUGAUAAAUGAAAUAGGGGAUCGGACUAAAUUUUUG
This is a long non-coding RNA of Chrysoperla carnea, 147 nucleotides long. RefSeq lists it as uncharacterized. The transcript has 3 exons. The record is from RefSeq and is a predicted model, not a curated record. NCBI's taxonomy places the organism in Eukaryota, Metazoa, Arthropoda, Insecta, Neuroptera, Chrysopidae.